AGGGAAUCUUCCACAAUGGACGCAAGUCUGAUGGAGCAACGCCGCGUGAGUGAAGAAGGCUUUCGGGUCGUAAAACUCUGUUAUUGAAGAAGAACGUGUGUGACAGUAACUGGUCAUGCAGUGACGGUAUUCAAUCAGAAAGUCACGGCUAACUACGUGCCAGCAGCCGCGGUAAUACGUAGGUGGCAAGCGUUGUCCGGAUUUAUUGGGCGUAAAGCGAGUGCAGGCGGUCUUUUAAGUCUGAUGUGAAAGCCUUCGGCUUAACCGAAGAAGGGCAUCGGAAACUGGGAGACUUGAGUGCAGAAGAGGAGAGUGGAACUCCAUGUGUAGCGGUGAAAUGCGUAGAUAUAUGGAAGAACACCAGUGGCGAAGGCGGCUCUCUGGUCUGUAACUGACGCUGAGGCUCGAAAGCGUGGGUAGCAAACAGGAUUAGAUACCCUGGUAGUCCACGCCGUAACGAUGAAUACUAAGUGUU
RNAcentral lists this ribosomal RNA (475 nucleotides) under uncultured bacterium. RNAcentral's name for it is "partial 16S ribosomal RNA". It matches the Rfam family "Bacterial small subunit ribosomal RNA", at positions 356 to 824 of the family's 1533-position model. The record is from RNAcentral.